RNAcentral lists this small RNA (134 nucleotides) under Salmonella enterica. RNAcentral's name for it is "RtT sRNA". It matches the Rfam family "RtT RNA". From Rfam's summary of the family: This family represents a bacterial cis-regulatory element known as RtT RNA. The exact function of RtT is unknown although it is thought that it may be involved in changing the cellular response in relation to amino acid starvation. RNAcentral also lists the same sequence under 2 other names. The record is from RNAcentral. Lineage: Bacteria; Pseudomonadati; Pseudomonadota; Gammaproteobacteria; Enterobacterales; Enterobacteriaceae.
UGUAUCUGAAGUCUGACGAGGAUGAGAACCUCCGGGGGCAAGAGGUUCGACUUGAGCGAAGCGAGAGAACGUUGCGUCAGCAACGGCCCGCAGGGCGAGCCACGCAGUGGCGAGUCAUCCUCUAUCACCGGCAG